UACGUAGGGCGCGAGCGUUGUCCGGAAUUAUUGGGCGUAAAGAGCUCGUAGGCGGUCUGUCGCGUCUGCUGUGAAAACUCGGGGCUUAACCCCGGGCCUGCAGUGGGUACGGGCAGACUAGAGUGCGGUAGGGGAGACUGGAAUUCCUGGUGUAGCGGUGAAAUGCGCAGAUAUCAGGAGGAACACCGGUGGCGAAGGCGGGUCUCUGGGCCGUAACUGACGCUGAGGAGCGAAAGCGUGGGGAGCGAACAGG
This 253-nucleotide ribosomal RNA is filed under the name uncultured bacterium. RNAcentral's name for it is "partial 16S ribosomal RNA". It matches the Rfam family "Bacterial small subunit ribosomal RNA", at positions 524 to 776 of the family's 1533-position model. The record is from RNAcentral.